This is a long non-coding RNA of Hemicordylus capensis (graceful crag lizard), 1695 nucleotides long. RefSeq lists it as uncharacterized. The record is from RefSeq and is a predicted model, not a curated record. NCBI's taxonomy places the organism in Eukaryota, Metazoa, Chordata, Lepidosauria, Squamata, Cordylidae. The transcript has 9 exons.
UCUGCUGAAGAAAAGUCCAACAGUUUGGGAAGAUAACUAACAAGCAAAACAGAAAUCUUCAGCAGAAGUACUCCUGGACUGGGAACCCAAAUGGUUCAGCAUUCCAAGACCAACUGACACCAACCGUCAAUCUUCAGAAUUGACUACAGAGAGGCCCAGUUAGAGGGUUACUGAGAGGGAAGUUAGUAGGGACAAUUAGGAAAAGGUUAUGUUAGGUAAUAGAACCAAGCUCAGCCCUUACAAUCACACUCAUGAUAAUUUUCUGCGCUGACCUAGAGCUUCUGUAUCAAGGCCUUGCUUCUACUGAAACUUCAGAUUUUCCUACAAAGCGAUUCCCUCAAAGGGCACAAUUUUGUUCAAAAUGGUUCAGAAGCAGGCAGCUGCUUUAGAAAAUACUCAGUGACAAUGCAUUCUCUAAAAGUAGGAAAUGAUGAUCUGGGAAUGAGUAUGCAACCUCUUCUGGAUGGAGCAGCACUUCCUCUGAAGGAUCAGUUUUGAGUUUAGAAGUUCUCCUAGACUCAACCUUUGCUUCUGGGUGGUGAGGUGGCAGCUGCAGCCAGGGAUGCUUUUGCACGGCUUUAACUACUGCACCAAGAUUGCUUUGGGAGAAGGCAGGUUUCUAGAAAAUAGAGAAUGAAAUUAACGAAAAACAAAAUGAAAAAGAAAUGUCUGAGGGAUGACAAGAGAGAGGACCAAGGUAGUCAGUACAACAUUCACACUAUCCUUGCCAGGCAAAACAUGCCUAAAGCUGCUAGAUCUCUAUACUGUUUACGCCUCACUCUCACUUUUUUUUUGCCCUAGAAGCAAGUAGUUCCAGUAGCCAUAUUUCAUAGUUUCUCAGGCACCUAGAUUUCCCAGUCUUUAAUGGGAAAAUGAUAUGCAAUAAACAAUGGCUAUGGCAAUCCAGAACUCCUGAUAUUUACUUGUGGUUCAAACAGCUGAAAAAAAUCCAAUAUAAGAUGAAGUGCUGUGAAUGUAACUGAAGCAUCUUGAAUGAAAGUUGUUCACAACUUCGUAUUACUUUAGAGUCCAUCUGCUUCAGAGGUGUCAUAGGGCCAACAAGAGAAGGACAUAACAUUCAGUACUGGCAAGGUCCACUUGCCUUGUAUCUGAUGUGCUCUGCAGUGGGCAGAGAGGCAUCUGUUAGCCAGAUUGAAGGAGUCAUCAUUUGAAAAGGAACCCCUUCCAGCAGAUUCCUGCCCACCGACCACCAAGAUGCCAUAAGAUCUAGGAGUCUUUGAAUGAGUCUGGCUGGUUGUAUGGAUGUUGCUGGAAAAAGAGAACCAGAUCCCUGAUGCACUGGAAGCGUUCCUGAGGUUGGUGGGACGAAGCUACGAGUGUCUCCACUGCUGCCAAAGAGCAUGACUCAGACUUGGCCAGAUGUUUGCCAGUGCUUAAUUGUUGGUGGAUAAACUCAGAACGAACUUAACCAUCGAGGAGUGACAGCCCGAGGACUGGAUGCAACAGCGCAUGCUGAAGAUGUGUGGGCAAGGCUUGGGCACCUCAACGAGCUACAACAUUCUACCACGAGGGUCCUGUGCAGGCACAUUACCCCCAUUCUUAUGGAUCUCGACAGAUCUCGAUCCAGAUUAUCUAGUUGAUGUUUUGAUGAUGUUGCAGUUUUUCUAAUGGACCAACAUGGCUGCAAACUUUUUAUAAAUUAACAAAUUACUUAAAAGUUUUCUUUCUCUGGCA